AAGUCGUAACAAGGUUUCCGUAGGUGAACCUGCGGAAGGAUCAUUAAAAGAGAAGUCGCCCGGGUGGGUAACACCUCCGGGCACACUCUCCACCCAUUGCUUGUUAUACAUUAGUUGCUUUGGCGGGCCUGGGCCCUGCCCCGCCGGCUCAGCCAGCGAGCGCCCGCCGGAGGUCAAACACAAACUCUGAAGUAAACCAUGAAGUCUGAACAAACUAUGAAAAUAGCCUAAAACUUUCAACAACGGAUCUCUUGGUUCUG
This 260-nucleotide unclassified non-coding RNA is filed under the name air metagenome. RNAcentral describes it as "partial contains small subunit ribosomal RNA, internal transcribed spacer 1, and 5.8S ribosomal RNA". The stretch from base 1 to 46 matches the Rfam family "Eukaryotic small subunit ribosomal RNA", at positions 1786 to 1831 of the family's 1831-position model. The record is from RNAcentral.